This 74-nucleotide transfer RNA is filed under the name Candidatus Competibacteraceae bacterium. RNAcentral describes it as "tRNA-Ala". It matches the Rfam family "tRNA". Rfam says of the family: Transfer RNA (tRNA) molecules are approximately 80 nucleotides in length. Their secondary structure includes four short double-helical elements and three loops (D, anti-codon, and T loops). The record is from RNAcentral. Lineage: Bacteria; Pseudomonadati; Pseudomonadota; Gammaproteobacteria; Candidatus Competibacteraceae.
GGGGCCAUAGCUCAGCUGGGAGAGCGCCUGCCUUGCACGCAGGAGGGCGGCGGUUUGGACCCCGCCUGGCCCCC